ACAAAUGAUUUUUAAUUUCAAAAAAAUCGCGAUGAAAGAAAUGAAUCCGGAAAUAAAUAUUAAGCACUUCAAACAAAAAAAAAAACAAAAAUUUGUUAUGAUCAUGUUCCACCACUCCCUGGACACCCUGUAUAAAAAAAUAUACUACUGCUAACUUAACUAAAAACUAGGCAUGAGAGAGUAAUAGGGAGGAACCAUGUGGUAUUCGGAGGUGAAGGGAGUCUAGGGAAAAAUAAAGCGGUUUAGGACCGACGGAAUGUGCGGGGAAGAGAGAAAACGCGAGUGUAGGAUAGAGAGAGAUAGAAGACCGGUUUGCCGGGACAAAUGGGCCUGGUCUGGUUCACUUGAAGCUUGAACCAUGAACAGCAUCUGUAGAUAAAAUACAGUCAUAUUAUUCGUUUGUUAUUCGUUCAAUGUCACAAUGUUGUGAAACUAUGAUCGUUCUCAUUUUAGAAAAAGGGUGUUUUCUGUCAAUUUGUAUAUGAUGUACUAUGUAACCAGUUUCGCUGUUGUUAUUUUUAUUGAUAGGUAAAUGAUCAAAAAAUUGCAAUCGAAGUGAAUUAAUUGUUACUGGCCAAAAUAAUAUUUAAUGCAGUUCUGAAAGUCACCCGCAAUGGCUUCCAGAGUAAUGUACGAUUCGCAAGUUCGAAAUGAAACAUCCUCGAAAGACUUUGUGCUCCACCCCAGAUUGACAAGUUUACAAGAGAUGGCAUACAACCAAAUAGCCAUAGCAGUGUGGUAUAGAUAUUGUUCAACUCCAACCCAACGGAACUACAAACGAUGGUAUCCUCAAUUUAUUGAUAAACAAGAACUAAUGGAUUGCCAUAAACUGAUAAAAACUUUGACGAUGCCUCGAUUUAUGAAAGAAAACUUGAAAAAAUAUCUGAAGAGAGUUCGCCAAGAAACAAUUAGUUGCACUAAAUUCUUCAUGUACGAAUUAUUAUCAGGAAGGUUGGAGGAGUAUAGAAUCUCUCAAGUUGAUUGGGAGUAUUUCGUAUGGCGUCCAGAUGGUCGUAUCAAUUAUAAAAGCACUGCCAUCAAAAUGCUACAUUCGCGCGUGUUGACUGAGGUGCAGAAGUUCGCCAUCAUGAGCAAUUUCUGCCUGGAAAAUGAUAUCAAAAUCUUCAAUCUGAAUCGCCGUCCUAUGAAAACCUUUAUCCCAAAAGUAAAUGAACACCGAGAUCCGUUAUUGUUUUACUGGAUCUGCUACCUGAAGAACAAAUUACACAUAAUUACACCAGUCUUAUUUCUUCGUUCAUAUGAUUAUCGUGAUGAAACAAAUUUUAUAUACAAAAACGAGAACCAAUGGGGAGCGUUUGAGUACUUCUGGAAUCGUUUAAGUGCUGAAGAUCAAGUAUCCUUUCUAAGCAUCAGAUUACGUACAUUCGAGCGUUCUCACUGGUAAGAUGGCCUGUUUUACAAGAUGUCCCAUGAUCAGUUGACAAAUUUACUGCUCCAUCAACCGGUUCCUGUGAUAUUAGUUUUUAUCAAAAAAAUAGAAAUGCCCGAGUGGGCAAUAAUGACUUGGAAGCGGUGUAAGAAUCGCAUAUCUAAUAAGCAAUUUGUCAAGUUGUUGCUCAGCCUAGUUGGGCAAUUUUCCAAACAGUUUAUGCAUGAACAAGAGCACAAGAUGAGUGUUUUAUUGGAAAUUUGGAAUGCGGCCAACGGUCACCAUAAGAAAUACGCAGCGAGACAUGGGACAUUAGAAACUGCUGUCGUUAUUCUGCUGCCAGCGAGUCCUUUUAGAUUUUCUUUUAGGUCAAAUGAUGAUAAUAUAGAAGCACGUCUCUGGAAAAAAGUAGCACCCAGCAGUUUAAAGUUUCUACUGAAAUUUAUCUCUUUGAAAAGCGCGAAUUUCAGAAAAAAUCUAUUUCUCGAAGGCGACCCCUCAUUUAUAUUUUACUUCGAUUUAAACUUGGUACGCGAAAUAUUUGAUUUAUGCUUGCCGAAUUUCCAAGGUCAGCUGGAAUUCCAAAAUGAAUGGAGUGCAUACGGAAUUCGUCCUUAUUUAUGUGAUAUUUUAUACAACGUAAAAGAUCACGAUGAAUUAAAUGAAAGAUUGUUACGUUCCUUUCAAAACUUGAAUAUUUCUUCAACCAAUAGUGAUGUACUAAAAAAAUUCAUCGAGUCGAUGAUUAUAGCCCGUAAAACAGAACACCGAAAGUAUUAUUUUUCUGGUUUGAUAAGAUUGAAUAAAUUCAUCGCGAAAAUUCUGCCAGAAAAUGUGUCCACAGUGUUGAAAAUGAAAGAAUCGUUCAUUUCUUCAUUUGCAGCCAACAGUGAUCCAUAUGAACGGUAUGGUAGUUUGCAUGAAUUGAGCAUACUAAUUGAGCAGGAGUUUGUACAUGAACAUCUGCCGGAAUUGAAAUACCGAUUACUUCUAAUACUCCUAACAACAAGUGUUGAAGAAUGGGUUCGGUAUGUGUCAAAUUAUGAAAAUUUCGGCUGUGCUUUUUCAUGGUGCUUUGAUAAUGAAGACGAAGAUGAGUUUCUACAUGUUAAACGUUAUGUACUUAGACAUAUACCAAUUGAUAAUAUUGUUGGUAAAGUUUUUAUUGCUAACCGAGUCACGUGUUUCAAUAACUUGCAGAGAUUUCUGGAGUGGUACUUCUCCGGAGUUGAGGAAAAAGUGGUAUCUUUUAAAUUAGGCAUGGUGAAUGAUCCUGAGAUUACUAAAGUAUUGGAACGCAUACAGGAAUACGACAAGCAGUUUCGUGGAAAGUUUUUGCAGUGGAUUGGCCUUCCUAUUGAACUCCCUGCUAAAAGAAGUACCUUUAGCGUCGUAUCUUUUUUAUUUUUCAUUUUUUUUGCCAUUUUAGCCGUAAUAUGUGUGUACCUACCUCUAAGCUAAUUCCAUCAUCUAUGUACUUACUUACAUACAUAUUUUUGUAAUCAUUUUUUUUUUUUAAAUAUGGCGAUUGUUUGAAAUUUUGCUCAUGUAUUCAGAUGUUUUUAUCAACAUUCAGUGGUUUUUAAUGGUUUUUGUGUUCGUUUAACGAGUAUUGAUGAUAUUUUAUGCAACUUUUUUUUUCAAAUUUUACUGAAAUUUUAUUAAUGUUUGCCAAAGCUUAGGUACAAUGUUCCCGACAAUUUUACAGUUUUAGUCGUGAUUCUUUUUUAUAAUUUUUCAAUGAAGUUUUAUAAAAAUAUUGUGUAUUUUUUUUUCAUUGUAUGUAAUUGAUAAAUUUUUUCGCCACUUGA
Planococcus citri (citrus mealybug) is the source of this 3201-nucleotide long non-coding RNA. RefSeq lists it as uncharacterized. The transcript is spliced from 2 exons. The record is from RefSeq and is a predicted model, not a curated record. Lineage: Eukaryota; Metazoa; Arthropoda; Insecta; Hemiptera; Pseudococcidae.